GUAGGUGGCAAGCGUUGUCCGGAAUUAUUGGGCGUAAAGCGCGCGCAGGCGGUUCUUUAAGUCUGAUGUGAAAGCCCACGGCUCAACCGUGGAGGGUCAUUGGAAACUGGAGAACUUGAGUACAGAAGAGGAAAGCGGAAUUCCACGUGUAGCGGUGAAAUGCGUAGAGAUGUGGAGGAACACCAGUGGCGAAGGCGGCUUUCUGGUCUGUAACUGACGCUGAGGCGCGAAAGCGUGGGGAGCAAACAGGAUUAGAUACCCUGGUAGUCCACGCCGUAAACGAUGAGUGCUAAGUGUUAGGGGGGUUUCCGCCCCCCUUAGUGCUGCAGCUAACGCAUUAAGCACUCCGCCUGGGGUACGGCCGCAAGGCUG
Molecule: ribosomal RNA, 372 nt
Filed under: uncultured organism
Description: partial 16S ribosomal RNA
Rfam family: Bacterial small subunit ribosomal RNA
Source: RNAcentral